UCUUGCUUGUUCCCUUCUAGAGGUGGGGA
RNAcentral lists this non-coding RNA (29 nucleotides) under Mus musculus (house mouse). The record is from RNAcentral. Lineage: Eukaryota; Metazoa; Chordata; Mammalia; Rodentia; Muridae.